Actinophytocola xinjiangensis is the source of this 74-nucleotide transfer RNA. It matches the Rfam family "tRNA". Rfam says of the family: Transfer RNA (tRNA) molecules are approximately 80 nucleotides in length. NCBI's taxonomy places the organism in Bacteria, Bacillati, Actinomycetota, Actinomycetes, Pseudonocardiales, Pseudonocardiaceae. The record is from Rfam.
GCCCUCGUAGCUCAUCGGGACAGAGCGCCGCGCUUCGAACGCGGAGGUACCAGGUUCGAACCCUGGCGGGGGUG